RNAcentral lists this unclassified non-coding RNA (19 nucleotides) under Mus musculus (house mouse). RNAcentral's name for it is "oocyte_clustered_small_RNA3256". The record is from RNAcentral. Lineage: Eukaryota; Metazoa; Chordata; Mammalia; Rodentia; Muridae.
AACGAGCUCUGGUACUGUG